RNAcentral lists this ribosomal RNA (213 nucleotides) under uncultured Bolidomonas. RNAcentral's name for it is "partial Bacterial large subunit ribosomal RNA". It matches the Rfam family "Bacterial large subunit ribosomal RNA", at positions 242 to 503 of the family's 2925-position model. The record is from RNAcentral. Lineage: Eukaryota; Bolidophyceae.
AGUAGUGGCGAGCGAACGCGGACUAGGCCAGUGGCUUUAUUGUUGUAACCGGAACAUUCUGGAAAGUUUGGCAUUAAUGGGUGAUAGCCCUGUACGGAUACAGCAACGAUAAGGUCCUUGAGUAGGGCGGAACACGUGAAAUUCUGUCUGAACAUGGGGCGACCACGCUCCAAGCCUAAGUACUCCCAUGCGACCGAUAGUGAACCAGUACCG